Molecule: ribosomal RNA, 768 nt
Filed under: uncultured bacterium
Lineage: Bacteria
Description: bacterial SSU rRNA
Rfam family: Bacterial small subunit ribosomal RNA
Source: RNAcentral
AGAGUUUGAUCAUGGCUCAGAUUGAACGCUGGCGGAAUGCUUUACACAUGCAAGUCGAACGGCAGCACGGGUGCUUGCACCUGGUGGCGAGUGGCGAACGGGUGAGUAAUGCGUCGGAACGUACCGAGUAAUGGGGGAUAACGCAGCGAAAGUUGUGCUAAUACCGCAUACGCCCUGAGGGGGAAAGUGGGGGAUCGUAAGACCUCACGUUAUUCGAGCGGCCGACGUCUGAUUAGCUAGUUGGUGAGGUAAUGGCUCACCAAGGCGACGAUCAGUAGCGGGUCUGAGAGGAUGAUCCGCCACACUGGGACUGAGACACGGCCCAGACUCCUACGGGAGGCAGCAGUGGGGAAUUUUGGACAAUGGGGGCAACCCUGAUCCAGCCAUUCCGCGUGAGUGAAGAAGGCCUUCGGGUUGUAAAGCUCUUUCAGCCGGAACGAAACGGUACGCGCUAACAUCGUGUGCUAAUGACGGUACCGGCAGAAGAAGCACCGGCUAACUACGUGCCAGCAGCCGCGGUAAUACGUAGGGUGCGAGCGUUAAUCGGAAUUACUGGGCGUAAAGCGUGCGCAGGCGGAUUGUUAAGCAAGAUGUGAAAUCCCCGGGCUUAACCUGGGAAUGGCAUUUUGAACUGGCAGUCUAGAGUGUGUCAGAGGGGGGUGGAAUUCCACGUGUAGCAGUGAAAUGCGUAGAGAUGUGGAGGAACACCGAUGGCGAAGGCAGCCCCCUGGGAUAACACUGACGCUCAUGUACGAAAGCGUGGGUAGC